RNAcentral lists this transfer RNA (67 nucleotides) under Cheironitis sp. MJTNT-2012. RNAcentral describes it as "tRNA-Arg". Lineage: Eukaryota; Metazoa; Arthropoda; Insecta; Coleoptera; Scarabaeidae. The record is from RNAcentral.
CUUAAAUAAGAAACAAAGUAUUGUAUUUAGUUUCGACCUAAAACCUUGAUGGAAACAUCCUUAUUUU